RNAcentral lists this long non-coding RNA (1189 nucleotides) under Mus musculus (house mouse). RNAcentral describes it as "predicted gene 28875". The record is from RNAcentral. Lineage: Eukaryota; Metazoa; Chordata; Mammalia; Rodentia; Muridae.
UGAACACAGGAGACAGUGAUGGUAGAGGGAGUCGGCUUCCCAAGAGAUCCCAGGCUUCCUUUGUGGAAUGGUCAUUGCUAGCUCAACAGCCAGGUGCCACGUGGACUCCUGGUGAUAGUGUGUGGAUGUGGGACAGAGCCUGUAGACUCUUGUCUAGUUUUGAGGGAAGAGAGCAGAGGAGACCAGUAAGGAAGGGCCUGAGAUACGGCCCAGCUCUGGAGACCCUGGGCUGUAGAGUUAAGAGCUAGGUUUAGGUGCUGAACCCAGGGCUGACUGGCCACAAGCUGGUGGCUUUCUGCCACUGUGUAGAACUCGCUUUUAUCCUCUGUGGCUUUGCUCUCCCUUACGGACCUCAGGCCACUGUUACUCCAGCAUCUGGUUAGCCUGUUGGAAGAUGGCAUUUCUGAGCAGGGGCUGCAGGCUUUCUUCCCUGUAUCUACUCUGCAGCAAGCUCUCUGACUUCCAUUGCCAAUGGGGGCUGGGAGUACCAGGACAGACUGCCAGGAGCAGGGGCUGGAAACACACAGGCCACCAAUGUCAGAGGCAAAUUCAGGAUCACUCUACGUGGGUCACAUUCUUCCAGGAGAGCAAAGAUCAGGAGCUGGGCAAGUUUUUGGAGCUCCUGGGAUGAAGAGGGGGACAGGGAACGCAUGUGUGUGUGCAUGUGUGUAUGUAUAUAUGUGUGCAUGCAUGUGUGUGCAUGCAUGUGUGUAUGUAUGUAUGUGUGCAUGCAUGUGUGUGCAUGUGCAUGUGUGCAUGUGCCUUGUGUUGCAUAAGUGUGCUCUGGUAGCUAGAGCAAUCCAAUUCAAUGUUUUAAGUCUUCCUUUGUGUAAACAGUACAGAGAGGCCACCUCCCCUUGUCACAGUCUCUGUGAUUAUAAAACAUGAAUUUUUGAUAAGUUCAGCUUUCUGGGAAGGCAGGCAAAUUUGGAGCCAAAGGACUGUCUUGGAACAUGUGUGGUGUUAUCUUGGUUCAUAUCAAGUCCAGAGCUGACUGAAGGCCUCAGCAUCUCUCAGCUCUGUGGGAAGGGCCAAGUGAGUCCUGGGGUCCCUGCUCAGUGCUGUUGUGAAGUUGCGCGGCAGCGGUCUUCUGAAAGACGAUUCUGUGUUAUCAUUGUUACUUCAUGGUUUUUUAAAAAAAUGUAUCUGCUCUAUGUUUGGAAAUAAAAAGCUCUAUUUUGGUCUAUGA